AACGAACGCUGGCGGCAGGCUUAACACAUGCAAGUCGAACGGUUGUAGCAAUACAGCAGUGGCGCACGGGUGAGUAACGCGUGGAUAUCUGCCUUUUGGUUCGGAAUAACUCCGGGAAACUGGAGCUAAUACCGGAUGGUUCCUACGGGAUAAAGAUUUAUCGCCAAAAGAUGAGUCCGCGUACGAUUAGCUAGUUGGUGAGGUAAUGGCUCACCAAGGCGACGAUCGUUAGCUGGUCUGAGAGGACGAUCAGCCACACUGGGACUGAGACACGGCCCAGACUCCUACGGGAGGCAGCAGUGGGGAAUAUUGGACAAUGGGCGAAAGCCUGAUCCAGCAAUGCCGCGUGAAUGAUGAAGGUCUUAGGAUUGUAAAAUUCUUUCACCGGGGACGAUAAUGACGGUACCCGGAGAAGAAGCCCGGCUAACUUCGUGCCAGCAGCCGCGGUAAU
Molecule: ribosomal RNA, 451 nt
Filed under: uncultured bacterium
Lineage: Bacteria
Description: bacterial SSU rRNA
Rfam family: Bacterial small subunit ribosomal RNA
Source: RNAcentral